AUCGCUUCUCGGCCUUUUGGCUAAGAUCAAGUGUGAGUACCUAUUUUUAUCAGUUUAAUAUCUACAUACAUCCUCUAUCCGAGGGACAAUAUAUUAAAUGGAUUUUUGGAGCAGGAGAUGGAAUAGGAGCUUGCUCCGUCCUCCCGCAUCGACCUGGUAUUGCAGUACCUCCAGGAACGGUGCACCUCCA
This 190-nucleotide small nuclear RNA is filed under the name Macaca fascicularis (crab-eating macaque). RNAcentral describes it as "U2 spliceosomal RNA (ENSMFAG00000052228.1)". It matches the Rfam family "U2 spliceosomal RNA". From Rfam's summary of the family: U2 is a small nuclear RNA (snRNA) component of the spliceosome (involved in pre-mRNA splicing). Complementary binding between U2 snRNA (in an area lying towards the 5' end but 3' to hairpin I) and the branchpoint sequence (BPS) of the intron results the bulging out of an unpaired adenosine, on the BPS, which initiates a nucleophilic attack at the intronic 5' splice site, thus starting the first of two transesterification reactions that mediate splicing. Lineage: Eukaryota; Metazoa; Chordata; Mammalia; Primates; Cercopithecidae. The record is from Rfam by way of RNAcentral.